CAGCAGCCGCGGUAAUACAAGGGGGGCAAGCGUUGUUCGGAAUUAUUGGGCGUAAAGGGCGCGUAGGCGGUUUGGCAAGUUUCGUGUGAAAUCUUCGGGCUCAACUCGAAGUCUGCACGGAAAACUGCCGGGCUUGAGUAUGGGAGAGGUGAGUGGAAUUUCCGGUGUAGCGGUGAAAUGCGUAGAUAUCGGAAGAAACACCUGUGGCGAAAGCGGCCCACUGGACCAUUACUGACGCUGAGGCGCGAAAGCUAGGGGAGCAAACAGGAUUAGAUACCCCUGUAGUCCCUGUCUCUUAUAC
This 301-nucleotide ribosomal RNA is filed under the name uncultured bacterium. RNAcentral describes it as "partial 16S ribosomal RNA". It matches the Rfam family "Bacterial small subunit ribosomal RNA", at positions 509 to 807 of the family's 1533-position model. The record is from RNAcentral.